CAAGUCGUACGCUGAUUUCAGGGUAGCAAUAUUCUGGAGUCGGAGUGGCGCAAGGGUGCGUAACACGUGGGUAAUUUGCCGUGAAGUUGGGGAUAACUCGCUGAAAGGCGAGCUAAUACCGAACGUGAAAAUUGGAAGGCAUCUUUUGAUUUUCAAAGUUGGGGACCGCAAGGCCUGACGCUUCACGAUAAGCCCGCGGCCUAUCAGCUAGUUGGUGAGGUAACGGCUCACCAAGGCUAAGACGGGUAGCUGGUCUGAGAGGACGACCAGUCACACUGGAACUGAGACACGGUCCAGACACCUACGGGUGGCAGCAGUCGAGAAUUUUUCUCAAUGGGCGAAAGCCUGAAGGAGCGACGCCGCGUGGGGGAUGAAGGGCUUCGGCUCGUAAACCCCUGUCAUUUGCGAACAAACCCCGCGACCCAACACGUCGCGGGCUGAUAGUAGCGAAAGAGGAAGGGACGGCUAACUCUGUGCCAGCAGCCGCGGUAAUACAGAGGUCCCAAGCGUUGUUCGGAUUCACUGGGCGUAAAGGGUGCGUAGGUGGCGGGGUAAGUUUGAUGUGAAAUCUCCGGGCUUAACCCGGAAAUGGCAUUGAAUACUAUUCUGCUGGAGGGUUGGAGGGGAGACUGGAAUUCUCGGUGUAGCAGUGAAAUGCGUAGAUAUCGAGAGGAACACCAGUGGCGAAGGCGAGUCUCUGGACAACUCCUGACACUGAGGCACGAAAGCUAGGGGAGCAAACAGGAUUAGAUACCCUGGUAGUCCUAGCUGUAAACGGUGCAUAUUUGCUGUAAAAGGAAUCGACCCCUUUUGUGGCGUAGCCAACGCGUUAAAUAUGCCGCCUGGGAAGUAC
Molecule: ribosomal RNA, 853 nt
Filed under: uncultured Verrucomicrobiota bacterium
Lineage: Bacteria; Pseudomonadati; Verrucomicrobiota
Description: bacterial SSU rRNA
Rfam family: Bacterial small subunit ribosomal RNA
Source: RNAcentral